This 560-nucleotide ribosomal RNA is filed under the name uncultured eukaryote. RNAcentral's name for it is "bacterial SSU rRNA". It matches the Rfam family "Eukaryotic small subunit ribosomal RNA", at positions 30 to 566 of the family's 1831-position model. The record is from RNAcentral.
CGCCCUUCCCAGUAAGUCAUAUGGCUNGUCUCAAAGAUUAAGCCAUGCAUGUCUAAGUAUAAAACAACUUUGUACUGUGAAACUGCGAAUGGGCUCAUUAAAUCAGUUAUAGUUUAUUUGAUGAUACCUUGCUACUUGGAUAACCGUGGUAAUUCUAGAGCUAAUACAUGCUGAGUACCCCGACUUCGGAAGGGGUGUAUUUAUUAGAUACAAAACCAAUGCCCUUCGGGGCUCAAUGGUGAUUCAUGAUAACUUUUCGAAUCGCACGGCCCUGCGCCGGCGAUGGUUCAAUCAAGUUUCUUCCCUAUCAACUUUCGAUGUUUGGGUAUUGGCCAAACAUGGUUGCAACGGGUGACGGAGGGUUAGGGCUCGACCCCGGAGAAGGAGCCUGAGAAACGGCCACUACAUCCAAGGAAGGCAGCAGGCGCGCAAAUUACCCAAUCCCCGACACGGGGAGGUAGUGACAAUAAAUACUGAUACGGGGCUCUUUUGGGUCUCGUAAUUGGAAUGAGUACAAUCUAAAUCCCUUAACGAGGAACAAUUGGAGGGCAAGUCUGGUG